UUCAUGGAGAGUUUGAUCCUGGCUCAGGACGAACGCUGGCGGCGUGCCUAAUACAUGCAAGUCGAGCGGACAGAUGGGAGCU
Molecule: ribosomal RNA, 82 nt
Filed under: Bacillus vallismortis
Lineage: Bacteria; Bacillati; Bacillota; Bacilli; Caryophanales; Bacillaceae
Also listed under: 3 other names
Description: partial 16S ribosomal RNA
Rfam family: Bacterial small subunit ribosomal RNA
Source: RNAcentral